CGAGCGAACAGACGAGGAGCUUGCUCCUCUGACGUUAGCGGCGGACGGGGUGAGUAACACGUGGAUAACCUACCUAUAAGACUGGGAUAACUUCGGGAAACCGGAGCUAAUACCGGAUAAUAUAUUGAACCGCAUGGUUCAAUAGUGAAAGACGGUUUUGCUGUCACUUAUAGAUGGAUCCGCGCCGCAUUAGCUAGUUGGUAAGGUAACGGCUUACCAAGGCAACGAUGCGUAGCCGACCUGAGAGGGUGAUCGGCCACACUGGAACUGAGACACGGUCCAGACUCCUACAGGAGGCGGCAGUAGGGAAUCUUCCGCAAUGGGCGAAAGCUUGACGGAGCAACGCCGCGUGAGUGAUGAAGGUCUUCGGAUCGUAAAACUCUGUUAUUAGGGAAGAACAAAUGUGUAAGUAACUAUGCACGUCUUGACGGUACCUAAUCAGAAAGCCACGGCUAACUACGUGCCAGCAGCCGCGGUAAUACGUAGGUGGCAAGCGUUAUCCGGAAUUAUUGGGCGUAAAGCGCGCGUAGGCGGUUUUUUAAGUCUGAUGUGAAAGCCCACGGCUCAACCGUGGAGGGUCAUUGGAAACUGGAAAACUUGAGUGCAGAAGAGGAAAGUGGAAUUCCAUGUGUAGCGGUGAAAUGCGCAGAGAUAUGGAGGAACACCAGUGGCGAAGGCGACUUUCUGGUCUGUAACUGACGCUGAUGUGCGAAA
RNAcentral lists this ribosomal RNA (714 nucleotides) under uncultured Bacilli bacterium. RNAcentral's name for it is "bacterial SSU rRNA". It matches the Rfam family "Bacterial small subunit ribosomal RNA", at positions 63 to 758 of the family's 1533-position model. The record is from RNAcentral. Lineage: Bacteria; Bacillati; Bacillota; Bacilli.